This 68-nucleotide transfer RNA is filed under the name Marmota monax (woodchuck). Its description in RNAcentral is "tRNA.Ala". The record is from RNAcentral. Lineage: Eukaryota; Metazoa; Chordata; Mammalia; Rodentia; Sciuridae.
GGACUGUAGCUCAGUGGCAGAGCACUUGCCUAGCAUGUGUGAGGCACUGGGUUUGAUCCUCAGCACCA